RNAcentral lists this ribosomal RNA (454 nucleotides) under uncultured bacterium. Its description in RNAcentral is "bacterial SSU rRNA". It matches the Rfam family "Bacterial small subunit ribosomal RNA", at positions 340 to 786 of the family's 1533-position model. The record is from RNAcentral.
UACGGAAGGCAGCAGUGGGGAAUAUUGCACAAUGGGCGCAAGCCUGAUGCAGCCAUGCCGCGUGUAUGAAGAAGGCCUUCGGGUUGUAAAGUACUUUCAGUCGUGAGGAAGGUGUUAAGGUUAAUAACCUUAGCAAUUGACGUUAGCGACAGAAGAAGCACCGGCUAACUCCGUGCCAGCAGCCGCGGUAAUACGGAGGGUGCGAGCGUUAAUCGGAAUUACUGGGUGUAAAGGGCACGCAGGCGGUUAAUUAAGUUGGAUGUGAAAUCCCCGGGCUUAACCUGGGAAUGGCAUUCAAGACUGGUUAGCUAGAGUCUUGUAGAGGGGGUAGAAUUCCAUGUGUAGCGGUGAAAUGCGUAGAGAUGUGGAGGAAUACCGGUGGCGAAGGCGGCCCCUGGGACAAAGACUGACGCUCAUGUGCGAAAGCGUGGGGAGCAAACGAGGAUUAGAUACC